RNAcentral lists this ribosomal RNA (426 nucleotides) under Pseudomonas sp. P13(2009). RNAcentral describes it as "bacterial SSU rRNA". It matches the Rfam family "Bacterial small subunit ribosomal RNA", at positions 52 to 472 of the family's 1533-position model. Lineage: Bacteria; Pseudomonadati; Pseudomonadota; Gammaproteobacteria; Pseudomonadales; Pseudomonadaceae. The record is from RNAcentral.
AUCAUGCAACNUCGANCGGAUGANUGGAGCUUGCUCCAUGAUUCAGCGGCGGACGGGUGAGUAAUGCCUAAGAAUNUGCCGGGUAGUGGGGGACAACGUUUCGAAAGGAACGCUAAUACCGCAUACGUCCUACGGGAGAAAGCAGGGGACCUUCGGGCCUUGCGCUAUCAGAUGAGCCUAGGUCGGAUUAGCUAGUAGGUGAGGUAAUGGCUCACCUAGGCGACGAUCCGUAACUGGUCUGAGAGGAUGAUCAGUCACACUGGAACUGAGACACGGUCCAGACUCCUACGGGAGGCANCANUGGGGAAUAUUGGACAAUGGGCGAAAGCCUGAUCCAGCCAUGCCGCGUGUGUGAAGAAGGUCUUCGGAUUGUAAAGCACUUUAAGUUGGGAGGAAGGGCAGUAAGUUAAUACCUUGCUGUUUUGA